RNAcentral lists this ribosomal RNA (429 nucleotides) under Bacillota bacterium. RNAcentral describes it as "Firmicutes bacterium partial 16S ribosomal RNA". It matches the Rfam family "Bacterial small subunit ribosomal RNA", at positions 355 to 776 of the family's 1533-position model. The record is from RNAcentral. Lineage: Bacteria; Bacillati; Bacillota.
UGGGGAAUUUUGGACAAUGGGGGCAACCCUGAUCCAGCAAUGCCGCGUGUGUGAAGAAGGCCUUCGGGUUGUAAAGCACUUUUGUCCGGGAAGAAAUCGCACCUGAUAAUACCGGGUGUGGAUGACGGUACCGGAAGAAUAAGGACCGGCUAACUACGUGCCAGCAGCCGCGGUAAUACGUAGGGUCCAAGCGUUAAUCGGAAUUACUGGGCGUAAAGCGUGCGCAGGCGGUUGUGCAAGACCGAUGUGAAAUCCCCGGGCUUAACCUGGGAAUUGCAUUGGUGACUGGACGGCUAGAGUGUGUCAGAGGGGGGUAGAAUUCCACGUGUAGCAGUGAAAUGCGUAGAGAUGUGGAGGAAUACCGAUGGCGAAGGCAGCCCCCUGGGAUAACACUGACGCUCAUGCACGAAAGCGUGGGGAGCAAACAGG